UACAGGGGGUGCAAACGUUGCUCGGAAUCAUUGGGCGUAAAGCGCACGUAGGCGGUCUGUUAUGUCGGAUGUGAAAGCCCUUGGCUCAACUGAGGAAGUGCAUCCGAAACUGGCAGGCUAGAGCACUAAAGAGGAUCGCGGAAUUCCCGGUGUAGAGGUGAAAUUCGUAGAUAUCGGGAGGAACACCGGUGGCGAAGGCGGCGAUCUGGGUAGAUACUGACGCUGAGGUGCGAAAGCGUGGGGAGCAAACAGG
Molecule: ribosomal RNA, 253 nt
Filed under: uncultured bacterium
Lineage: Bacteria
Description: partial 16S ribosomal RNA
Rfam family: Bacterial small subunit ribosomal RNA
Source: RNAcentral